UUUUUUCCCUGCCUCAAAUUUACUCAAAUGCAAUUUAUAUAGGUAACAUAAAAAGAUAAAUGAUAAUGCAUUCAUUUACAAUAUUUAAAAAUAGUUACAUCUUAAAUUUAAUUUAACAUAUUAAGAUCACGUUUUCAAGUGUUCACGGCCGACAUCCGUUAUUAUUAAAUAAGGGUGUAAAAAUGAAUGACAAAUUCUUCACCACGUACGGCAGUCUGUAAUUGCAUAUAAAACGUAUUGCAAUCACUUGUAAACCAUUAAAUAUAAAGGUUCAGGUGCUUAUAUUCAAUAAUCAAAUAUUAUUUCGGCAAUCUGUUGAUUUUUUUUAGUCAAUUCGCGGCGAUUUGUGCAGCAGUAUGACUUUGAGCUACUUUUUUUAUUUAUAUAAUUAUAAAACAGUGUUAAAUAAUUAAAUAGGAAGAAGUUAGAAUUAAAAUUGAAUAUUUGUUUUAUUUAAAUAACAUGAUUAAGGGGACGUGGUAGACUUUCAGUUAAAAAAAUCGUCUUCUUUCACAGUUUUAUUUCAUUCUUGAAAGGGGAGCAACCCCUGAUAAAUAAUGGGAAAGUUUCACUCGUUUUGUGUCCAAAUUAUUAAAAUCUGAACACGACUGGACACGGUCUGACAACAUCUUGACGUCAGUUUGUAUCCAUGGUCUGUUUUGGU
Molecule: long non-coding RNA, 664 nt
Filed under: Mytilus galloprovincialis (Mediterranean mussel)
Lineage: Eukaryota; Metazoa; Mollusca; Bivalvia; Mytilida; Mytilidae
Source: RNAcentral